Molecule: unclassified non-coding RNA, 204 nt
Filed under: uncultured Ceriporiopsis
Lineage: Eukaryota; Fungi; Basidiomycota; Agaricomycetes; Polyporales; Polyporaceae
Description: sequence contains ITS2
Source: RNAcentral
UAUUCUCAAACCUUUAAAGCUUUAGAGCGAUAAAGGCUUGGAUUUGGAGGUUGUGUUGGCGCAAGUCAACUCCUCUUAAAUGCAUUAGCGUGAAUCUUUUACGGAUCGCCUCCAGUGUGAUAAUUUGUCUACGCUGUGGUGUUGAAGUAUAAAUGUAGUGUUCAUGCUUCUAACUGUCUUGUAACGAGACAAACAUAAUUGACA